AGGACGAACGCUGGCGGCGUGCUUAACACAUGCAAGUCGAACGGUAAGGCCCCUUCCGGGGUACGACGAGUGGCGAACGGGUGAGUAACACGUGAGCAACCUGCCCUUGACUCUGGAAUAACAGCUGGAAACAGCUGCUAAUACCGGAUAUGACCGCAUGCGACAUCGCAUACGGUAGAAAGCCCUGGCGGUCAAGGAUGGGCUCGCGGCCUAUCAGCUAGUUGGUGAGGUAACGGCUCACCAAGGCUUCGACGGGUA
This 258-nucleotide ribosomal RNA is filed under the name uncultured bacterium. RNAcentral's name for it is "partial small subunit ribosomal RNA". It matches the Rfam family "Bacterial small subunit ribosomal RNA", at positions 26 to 285 of the family's 1533-position model. The record is from RNAcentral.